AGGCUGUGACAACAUCAACUCCUGUUAGAGGAGAGACAGUGGCGAAACUGAAAGUUGCGAUUAACGGUUUUGGAAGGAUUGGUAGGAACUUUCUUAGGUGUUGGCAUGGUCGUAAAGACUCUCCUCUCGAAGUUGUUGUACUUAACGACAGUGGUGGUGUCA
Molecule: small RNA, 162 nt
Filed under: Arabidopsis thaliana (thale cress)
Lineage: Eukaryota; Viridiplantae; Streptophyta; Magnoliopsida; Brassicales; Brassicaceae
Description: ATSL042710
Source: RNAcentral